CUUUUGGGUGCCUAGGAAAUUAUUAGAAGGGAUGAUAGGUGCCAUGGAUUAAACCUUAAACCAUGAGAUAGAUACUCAUCCACUAAGCUACUAGUCUUCAACUUAUACAAAGUUGCAAUGGUUUCUAUGACCAUGCUUAUGACAUAAAGCAAAUUACCACUGCUAGGAUGGGCAUUACUUGAAGUAUAGAUGCUAAGACUCAAAC
This 205-nucleotide unclassified non-coding RNA is filed under the name Hevea brasiliensis (rubber tree). The record is from RNAcentral. Lineage: Eukaryota; Viridiplantae; Streptophyta; Magnoliopsida; Malpighiales; Euphorbiaceae.